Long non-coding RNA from Perca flavescens (yellow perch), 379 nucleotides. RefSeq lists it as uncharacterized. Lineage: Eukaryota; Metazoa; Chordata; Actinopteri; Perciformes; Percidae. The record is from RefSeq and is a predicted model, not a curated record. The transcript has 3 exons.
CUCCCCCUCCUCUAUGUUGUGUCGCAGAUGAGCUCAGCCGGUUGCCUUCUGGGUCAAAAUACCGGGGGGACCGGUAGUCCGUUGGGUGACAGAACACGAGGGGAGACAGAGGUGGGCAAUAAAUGUCCCCAGCUGUGUCUCGACCAGUAGCCCAACAGGACACCCAAAGGCAAUGGACCUAUUCUUGAUUGCACAGUGGCUGGCCGGUUGGCUGUCUUUGCCCACCGGUAGCCCGGAUCAUCCGUGCUGCGCGCCCGCAGGUCAAAGCGCUGCCAUUCAAAGUCUGACGUUGACGCGAAAGCAGCGCGCCUCUGCAGCUUGAUGUACACUUUGAAUGACUCACGAUGAAAAAUAAAAGUAUGGGCUGUGACACAGGCAA